Molecule: non-coding RNA, 215 nt
Filed under: Paramesorhizobium deserti
Lineage: Bacteria; Pseudomonadati; Pseudomonadota; Alphaproteobacteria; Hyphomicrobiales; Phyllobacteriaceae
Source: RNAcentral
ACUUUUCGGAUAAGAACAGGCGCUAAAACGGCGAGAAGGCUAAGAGGGAAGCCGGUGCGUGCUCUUAUUCGGAGUGCAAGGCCGGCGCUGCCCCCGCAACUGUAUGCGGCGAGCUGUUGUCGUUUCAUCACGCCACUGAUCUUUCGUGGAUCGGGAAGGCCGGACAGCAGUGAUGACCCGUGAGCCAGGAGACCUGCCCCGAUAAGGGACGCGGA